GUGGAAGUAGCGGUGAUGUCAGGCUCCCGGACUUGUGUAUUCAACCCGGACUUCUGGGAGCCACCACCAUCAACUAAGGACAAUUUGUAAACGAGGUCCAUCUGCUCCCUCCUGUAUUAGUUCUGAUGUGGGCUAUUAUUUUCAAGACUACUGCUGAGAUGGUGAGCGUGGGAUGGAACUAGGGGGCGGCCUGGGGCGGGCAUCUGCCAGGCGAGGGAGCUGCCCUGCCGCCGAGAUUGUGGGGAAACGGCGUGGAAGACACCCCAUCGGAGGGCACCCAAUCUGCCUCUGCACUCGAUUCCAUCCUGCAACCCAGGAGAAACCAUUUCCGAGUUCCAGCCGCAGAGGCACCCGCGGAGUUGCCAAAAGAGACUCCCGCGAGGUCGCUCGGAACCUUGACCCUGACACCUGGACGCGAGGUCUUUCAGGACCAGUCUCGGCUCGGUAGCCUGGUCCCCGACCACCGCGACCAGGAGUUCCUUCUUCCCUUCCUGCUCACCAGCCGGCCGCCGGCAGCGGCUCCAGGAAGGAGCACCAACCCGCGCUGGGGGCGGAGGUUCAGGCGGCAGGAAUGGAGAGGCUGAUCCUCCUCUAGCCCCGGCGCAUUCACUUAGGUCAGGACAGCAGCUUGGUCUUCCCAGGUGAGGAACUGAGGACUGGCCUGCAUAGAUUUGUGCAGUAGCGAGGGCCGAGGUAGGGGCAGAUAGAUCACCAGACAGGCGGAGAAGGACAGGAGUACAGAUGGAGGGACCAGGACACAGAAUGCAAAAGACUGGCAGAAGCAGGUUUGCGAGCUCGAAUACCUUUGCUCCACUGCCACACGCAGCACCGGGACUGGGCGUCUGGAGCUUAAGUCUGGGGGUCUGAGCCUGGGACCGGCAAAUCCGCGCAGCGCAUCGCGCCCAGUCUCGGAGACUGCAACCACCGCCAAGGAGUACGCGCGGCAGGAAACUUCUGCGGCCCAAUUUCUUCCCCAGCUUUGGCAUCUCCGAAGGCACGUACCCGCCCUCGGCACAAGCUCUCUCGUCUUCCACUUCGACCUCGAGGUGGAGAAAGAGGCUGGCAAGGGCUGUGCGCGUCGCUGGUGUGGGGAGGGCAGCAGGCUGCCCCUCCCCGCUUCUGCAGCGAGUUUUCCCAGCCAGGAAAAGGGAGGGAGCUGUUUCAGGAAUUUCAGUGCCUUCACCUAGCGACUGACACAAGUCGUGUGUAUAGGAAGGCGUCUGGCUGUUUCGGGACUCACCAGAGAGCAUCGCCAACCAGAACGGCCCACCCGGGGUGUCGAGUCUUGGUAGGGAAAUCAGACACAGCUGCACUCCCGGCCCGCGGGCCUUGUGGCAUAUAACCAUUUAUAUAUUUAUGAUUUC
Molecule: long non-coding RNA, 1364 nt
Filed under: Homo sapiens (human)
Lineage: Eukaryota; Metazoa; Chordata; Mammalia; Primates; Hominidae
Description: HSALNT0031000
Source: RNAcentral